This 1139-nucleotide ribosomal RNA is filed under the name Enterococcus faecalis. RNAcentral describes it as "partial 23S ribosomal RNA". It matches the Rfam family "Bacterial large subunit ribosomal RNA", at positions 411 to 1551 of the family's 2925-position model. The record is from RNAcentral. Lineage: Bacteria; Bacillati; Bacillota; Bacilli; Lactobacillales; Enterococcaceae.
AGUACGGCGGAACACGAGAAAUUCCGUCGGAAUCCGCGGGGACCAUCCCGCAAGGCUAAAUACUCCCUAGUGACCGAUAGUGAACCAGUACCGUGAGGGAAAGGUGAAAAGCACCCCGGAAGGGGAGUGAAAUAGAUCCUGAAACCGUGUGCCUACAACAAGUCAAAGCUCGUUAAUGAGUGAUGGCGUGCCUUUUGUAGAAUGAACCGGCGAGUUACGAUUGCAUGCGAGGUUAAGUCGAAGAGACGGAGCCGCAGCGAAAGCGAGUCUGAAUAGGGCGAAUGAGUAUGUAGUCGUAGACCCGAAACCAUGUGAUCUACCCAUGUCCAGGUUGAAGGUGCGGUAAAACGCACUGGAGGACCGAACCCACGUACGUUGAAAAGUGCGGGGAUGAGGUGUGGGUAGCGGAGAAAUUCCAAACGAACUUGGAGAUAGCUGGUUCUCUCCGAAAUAGCUUUAGGGCUAGCCUCGGAAUUGAGAAUGAUGGAGGUAGAGCACUGUUUGGACUAGGGGCCCAUCUCGGGUUACCGAAUUCAGAUAAACUCCGAAUGCCAUUCAUUUAUAUCCGGGAGUCAGACUGCGAGUGAUAAGAUCCGUAGUCGAAAGGGAAACAGCCCAGACCACCAGCUAAGGUCCCAAAAUAUAUGUUAAGUGGAAAAGGAUGUGGGGUUGCACAGACAACUAGGAUGUUGGCUUAGAAGCAGCCACCAUUUAAAGAGUGCGUAAUAGCUCACUAGUCGAGUGACCCUGCGCCGAAAAUGUACCGGGGCUAAACAUAUUACCGAAGCUGUGGACUACACCAUUAGGUGUAGUGGUAGGAGAGCGUUCUAAGGGCGUUGAAGGUCGAUCGUGAGGACGGCUGGAGCGCUUAGAAGUGAGAAUGCCGGUAUGAGUAGCGAAAGACAGGUGAGAAUCCUGUCCACCGUAUGACUAAGGUUUCCUGGGGAAGGCUCGUCCGCCCAGGGUUAGUCGGGACCUAAGCCGAGGCCGAUAGGCGUAGGCGAUGGACAACAGGUUGAUAUUCCUGUACCAGUUGUUUUUGUUUGAGCAAUGGAGGGACGCAGUAGGCUAAGGAAUGCAUGCGAUUGGAAGUGCAUGUCCAAGCAAUGAGUCUUGAGUAGAGUUAAAUGCUUUACUCU